This 4813-nucleotide long non-coding RNA is filed under the name Ricinus communis (castor bean). RNAcentral describes it as "long non-coding RNA (RCOM_LNC002536)". Lineage: Eukaryota; Viridiplantae; Streptophyta; Magnoliopsida; Malpighiales; Euphorbiaceae. The record is from RNAcentral.
AUAUAUAUAUAUAUAUAUAACUUUAUAAACAUAAUUUACUACUUAGUUACAAUAUACAUUCAUACAAUUUAAGUGGCAUGACAUACUUAAUAUAUAUAAGAAAUAUUUAUACAGUAGUUUAAUUCACACAAGUUCCCAAAAUGCCCCAAUGCUUUAGAUAACUCCUCUGGCCCACCUGAUAAUAUUGACUGAUGCAAAAAGAGCAAUGCACAACUAAGGCUAUCUACAACUGCACUAACCUGAAAAAAAAAAUUGCUAAGGAAUGAGCUAGCGACUCAAUAAGCAUUUAAUUUACUAAACUAUAGUAUAUUAGGCUAGAAUUAUCAAAUCUUUAUCAAUACAGAAAAUUAUACCAACACUUAACUAACAAUCACAAAAUCAACCAUUUCAGUUAUUCUCAUAAACAUAUAAUUUCAUCUCACGUAAUGCAAAUAAUCUCAAACUCAACCAAGUCAAAUAAUUCAAUUCUACAUUAUUUCUAUCAAAUUAGGAUCAGAUGACUCAUCCUUACAUUUCCUCACAUUUUUAAAUUUCAGUAACCACUUGACAAGACUAUCCGCCCGGCUCAGUCUUGCCAUCUCACAUACUCGGGUAGCUAUCCGCCCGGCUCAGCUUUCCCGAUCACACAAUAUCCAUACAAAAGUCAUCAAUCCUUAAUCACAAUCAUUUCACUUCACAACACAUCACAAUCAAUUCACUUUAUAACAAGCCAAAAACAUAACUAAUAUCAACUCAGUCAACCAAGAAAUUAUCAAGUAAUCAAACAGCAGUCCCUACUCAAUAUACACAAAGUUUAGUCUAUUAAAUACUUACCAGAAGUUAUAGGAUAACAAAGUAAUCCUAUUCUUUUUCUCUUACCACUUCCUUGCCUUUGGAUGAACCUAUUCAUAUAUUCAAUACAAAUACAAUUCAAUCACAAGGCAUAAAUAUAUAUAUAUAUAUAUAUAUAUAUUUACUAUCAAUAAAAUAUCACAUUUCAACAAAAUAACAUAUAUUCUAGAUAUUAAUAUGAUGCAUGAGAUGAAUGACAACAAAUCAACAUAUUUGUUGAUGAAGGCAGCUUGUAGGUACUGACUUAGAAAUUACACCAAAACUUAUGUACAAUUAAUAAAAAUCUCAUAUUUUCCAGAAUUACACUUCCAUUUUUAUAGAAACCAUAGCAGAAAGAAUCACCUCAAAAUCAUUGGUAUAGAAAUAGUUAUGGCAUUUUCUAUACAGCUGCUCAAAUUUCCAUCUAAACAGAACAGAAAAAACGUUUCCUAUUAAAUGACCAAUCAAACAAAUGAAUUUUCUGAUGAAACUCUCCAGAUAUAAAGUUAACAUUCUAAAGUUUCUAUAGACACUAAUUUUACUCAAUUUGGACUUUUUUAGCUCAAGUUGUGAAACACACAAUUAGCAACAAAUUUCUGAAUCCUAAGCCCGAUUUCUGCUUAAAAUAGUUUCGGGCAGGCCAUAUUAAGUUCAACAUAUCUCACGUUAUACUCAACCAAAAAUUAUGAAAUUUUUCAGACAUAUACUACAUAUAUAAAUGAACAACUUUCAUGUUUAACUCUCUGCUUGGUUCAGCCUCUAAAUGCCUCAAAAUGUCAGCACAAAAACCAGGUCACCUGCUGAACCAAAAACAGAGCAGCAGCAAAAUCGAACCUCAUAAGUUCCUACUCACUCAACAAUCUGCAAAACCAUUUUACAGAGAUAUUCUUGAGACAUAUACCUACAACUUUCAUGUUUGAAAAUUUUCGAGAUAAAGUCUCUAAGGUCACGAAAUCAUAAGUGAAAAAUCUGCCCAGAAAUUUCAGCUUCAAGAUCACAAGUAAAAGCAUGUUUACUCUUGAUUAAACAAUUCCAAAACACAUAAUCAUCAACAAUUUCAUAUCAUUAACCCUAAUUUACAGCAAAAUCAAGCAAUUAAAAUUACUCACCUUUGUUUUCCUUGAUUAAGAAAGCCCAAAUCUUUCAAGCUUAAAAGAAGAAUUUGAUUUUCACUUACUAAAAGUUUUGUAGAGUUUGAUUUGGAAAAUCAAAGUUGAAGAAGGAAAGGAGAAAAAUGAGAGAGACAAAGAAGAAAAGGAAAUUGGAAAGCAUACGUAGAUAAGAACAAAUGAAAGAGGUGGUAUAUUGGUGUGGAAAUAGGCAAAUUACAAUUUAAUCCUCUUUCUUUCUAACUUUUCAAUUUAGUCCAAAAUCAUUACUUUUCAAUUAAAUCAAUAUGUAACUAAAUAAUUUAUUUAUCUACCACAUAAUAUAAUAAAAUAGAUCAUAUAUAAUCAUGAUGCAAAUGACAUGUUUAAUGACAUGCUAAUGAAUAUUAAUUAUUAAUAAAAAGAAGUAAAUAAAUUUGGUUGUGACAAUUCCUACCCACUUAAAAAAUUUCGUCCUCGAAAUUAACUAAUCGCCAACAGACAUGCCAAAUAAGCUCGGGUAUUUAUCCAUCAUAUGCUUCUCUACUUCCCAAGUUGCUUCCUUAGAUGAAUGUUGACUCCAUUUCACCUUUACCAUAGGAAUUUCCUUGUUUCUUAAUUUUCUAACCUGUCGGUUUAAUAUCUGAAUCGGUUCUUCAACAUAUGUGAGUUUCUCAGAAACUUCAAUUUCUGGUAUCUUGAUGACAUGGCUAGGAUCAGAUCGAUAUCGUCGAAGCAUAGAAACAUGGAAAACAUUAUGUACUUGAGCUAACUCUGGGGGUAAUGCAAGUCUAUAGGCUAAAGGACCAACCCGCUCUAAAAUCUCAUACGGCCCGAUAUAUCGAGGACUUAGUUUACCUUGUUUACCAAAUCGAAGGAUACCCCUCCAUGGUGAUACUCUCAAGAAAACCUUAUCCCCAACUUCAUACUCAAUUUCCCUUCUGUGUUUAUCUGCAUAGCUUUUCUGUCUAUCUUGUGCGGCCUUGAUACACUGCUUCGCAACUUGUAUCUUGUCUACUGUUUCUUGAAUAAUUUCAGGACCUUCCAAUUGUCUCAACCCUUCUACAUCCCAACAUAUAGGGCUUCUACAUUUUCUCUCAUAUAAUGCCUCGUAUGCUGGCAUACCAAUACUAGAAUGAAAACUAUUAUUAUAAGCAAAUUCCAUAAGUGGUACCUGUUCAUCCCAAUUUCCGCUAUACUCUAAUGCACAAGCCCGUAACAUGUCUUCAAAAGUUUGAAUAGUUCUCUCAGAUUGCCCAUCUGUUUGAGGAUGAAAAGCAGUACUGAAAUGCAAUUUAGUUCCCAUUGCCACUUGUAAGCUCUUCCAGAAAUGAGAUGUAAACCGAGGAUCCCUGUCUGAAACAAUGGAGAUAGGUACACCAUGCAACCUAAUAAUUUCUUUCACAUACAAGUUGGCUAGCUUAUCCAAUGAAUCAUUCUGUUGAAUAGGUAAAAAGUGCGCUGAUUUUGUUAACCUAUCAACUAUUACCCAAAUAGCAUCAUUUCUCCUAAAAGUGCGAGGCAAACCAACAACAAAGUCCAUAGUAAUUCUUUCCCAUUUCCACUCAGGUAUAAUUAAAGACUGUAAUUUACCUGCAGGUGAUUGAUGUUCUGCUUUCACUUGUUGACAAGUUAGGCAUUUAGCUACAUAUUCUGCAACUUCCCUCUUCAUGCCUGACCACCAAUAAUGUGGCUUCAAAUUGUUAUACAUUUUUGUACUCCCUGGGUGCAUUGAAUAAGGAGAAUUGUGAGCCUCCCAAAAAAUCUUUUGUUUCAAUGCGGCUACAUUAGGUACAUAUACCCUGGUUUUCAUAAUCCACAUUCCAUCAUCUCGCUCGAUUAGUUCACUUGUCUUACCAUCUUGCACCUUCUUCUGUAACUUCUUUAAGUAUGCAUCACUACCUUGUGCAUGUUUGAUCUCAUCUAGUAUCUGGGGACUAGUCUUCAUUGUAGUCAAUAAUACCCCAUUCUUUAUAGAAAAAUGCAUAUCCAUAGCUCUUAGCGAAAUUAAGGAACUCAUCUGAUAUGAAAUCAUACCUGCAACCCUUUCCAAAGUCUUCCUACUAAGUGCAUCUGCCACAACAUUUGNNNNNNNNNNNNNNNNNNNNNNNNNNNNNNNNNNNNNNNNNNNNNNNNNNNNNNNNNNNNNNNNNNNNNNNNNNNNNNNNNNNNNNNNNNNNNNNNNNNNNNNNNNNNNNNNNNNNNNNNNNNNNNNNNNNNNNNNNNNNNNNNNNNNNNNNNNNNNNNNNNNNNNNNNNNNNNNNNNNNNNNNNNNNNNNNNNNNNNNNNNNNNNNNNNNNNNNNNNNNNNNNNNNNNNNNNNNNNNACAUAAAUGGUUGUGCAUAAUUACUAUAUGCUUGCAUGUUAUGCUCUUAAUCCCCUCUAUUCCCAUCAAUUCAAUCACACAAGCAUUUAACAUAUUGGAACAUAUUAAAAAUUCCAACUCACUUUAACAUAUCACAACACAUACACACCUUCAUAUAACAUAACAUAAACACAAAUAUAAGUACUCAAACUUAUGUCCCAAUGGUCUAAUCCCCGCUCUGAUACCAAAAACUAUAACACCCCAACUCAAACUUCCCAUUGAAUAGCAAUAUAUAUAUAUAUAUAUAUAACUUUAUAAACAUAAUUUACUACAUAGUUACAAUAUACAUUCAUACAAUUUAAGUGGCAUGACAUACUUAAUAUAUAUAAGAAAUAUUUAUACAGUAGUUUAAUUCACACAAGUUCCCAAAAUGCCCCAAUGCUUUAGAUAACUCCUUUGGCCCACCUAAUAAUAUUGACUGAUGCAAAAAGAGCAAUGCACAACUAAGGCUAUCUACAACUGCACUAACCUGAAAAAAAAAAUUGCUAAGGAAUGAGCUAGCGACUCAAUAAGCAUUUAAUUUACUAAACUAUAGUAUAUUAGGCUAGAA